This 312-nucleotide RNase P RNA is filed under the name Polaribacter vadi. RNAcentral describes it as "Bacterial RNase P class A". It matches the Rfam family "Bacterial RNase P class A". From Rfam's summary of the family: Ribonuclease P (RNase P) is a ubiquitous endoribonuclease, found in archaea, bacteria and eukarya as well as chloroplasts and mitochondria. Its best characterised activity is the generation of mature 5'-ends of tRNAs by cleaving the 5'-leader elements of precursor-tRNAs. Lineage: Bacteria; Pseudomonadati; Bacteroidota; Flavobacteriia; Flavobacteriales; Flavobacteriaceae. The record is from Rfam by way of RNAcentral.
AGAGCAGAUUUAUCUUAUCGCUUUAAAUUAAUUUUAAAGAGGAAAGUCCGGACACCAAAGAGUAAUCAUAGUGGAUAACAUCCAUCCAGCGUAAGCUGAGGACAAGUGCAACAGAAAGCAAGUACAGUUAGGCUGUAGUGAAACCAGGUAAACUCUAUGAGGUGCAAUGUCAUGUAAAUUAGAGCUUGAGAGCUACUCGCUCGAUUCUAAAGGGUAGGCAGAUAGAUUCUAAAAGUAAUUUUAGAACUAGAUAAAUGAUAAGAGCCUUACUUAUGUAAGGAACAGAAUUCGGCUUACAAGUCUGCUUUUUUA